RNAcentral lists this ribosomal RNA (255 nucleotides) under uncultured bacterium. RNAcentral's name for it is "partial 16S ribosomal RNA". It matches the Rfam family "Bacterial small subunit ribosomal RNA", at positions 524 to 776 of the family's 1533-position model. The record is from RNAcentral.
UACGAAGGGGGCUAGCGUUGCUCGGAAUUACUGGGCGUAAAGGGCGCGUAGGCGGAUAUCUAAGUUGGGGGUGAAAUCCCGGGGCUCAACCUCGGAAUUGCCUUCAAAACUGGAUAUCUUGAGUUCGGGAGAGGUGAGUGGAACUCCGAGUGUAGAGGUGAAAUUCGUAGAUAUUCGGAAGAACACCAGUGGCGAAGGCGACUCACUGGCCCGAUACUGACGCUGAGGCGCGAAAGCGUGGGGGAGCAAAACAGG